This 527-nucleotide ribosomal RNA is filed under the name Hemanthias leptus (longtail bass). Its description in RNAcentral is "partial 16S ribosomal RNA". It matches the Rfam family "Bacterial large subunit ribosomal RNA", at positions 1901 to 2571 of the family's 2925-position model. Lineage: Eukaryota; Metazoa; Chordata; Actinopteri; Perciformes; Anthiadidae. The record is from RNAcentral.
GAGGCACGCCUGUGACUAUAUGUUCAACGGCCGCGGUAUUUUGACGGCGAAGGUAGCGUAAUCACUUGUCUCUUAAUGGAGACUGUAUGAAUGGCAUUACGAGGGCUUAACUGUCUCCUCCCUCAGGUCAGUGAAAUUGAUCUCCCCGUGCAGAAGCGGGGAUAAGAACAUAAGACGAGAAGACCCCGUGGAGCUUUAGAUGCAAGAGCAGCGCAUGUUACACACCCCUAAGCAAGGAUUAAAACUUUAUGCCCCCCUGCCCUAAUGUCUUCGGUUGGGGCGACCGCGGAUUAAAUUUAACCUCCGUGUGGAAUGGGAGUACUUCAAUUCAUAUUUCCUCCUAAAACUAAGAGCGACAGCUCUAAGAAACAAAACUUUUGACCUAAGAAGAUCCGGCAACGCCGAUCAACGAACCGAGUUACCCCGGGGAUAACAGCGCAAUCCUCUUCUAGAGCCCCUAUCGACAAGAGGGUUUACGACCUCGAUGUUGGAUCAGGACAUCCUAAUGGUGCAGCCGCUAUUAAGGG